This 497-nucleotide ribosomal RNA is filed under the name uncultured bacterium. RNAcentral's name for it is "partial 16S ribosomal RNA". It matches the Rfam family "Bacterial small subunit ribosomal RNA", at positions 27 to 507 of the family's 1533-position model. The record is from RNAcentral.
GGGGGGGGGGGGGGGGGGGGGGGGGGGGGGGGGGGGGGGGGGGGGGGGGGGGGGGGGGGGCGUCGGGGGUUGGCGGCGGGCGGGGGAGGGGGGCGUGGGGAACCUAGCUAUGGGACUGGGGUAACUUCGGGAAGCCUGGUCUACUACCGGCUACUAUAUUUACCCGCAGUUUUCCAUCUUGACAGCCUGUUUUUCUUUCACUUAUCUAUUGAUCCGCGCCGCAUUAGCUAGUUGGUACGGUAACGGCUUACCAAGGCAACGAUGCGUAGCCGACCUGCGAGAGGGAGCGGCCACACUGGAACUGAGACACGGUCCAGACUCCUACGGGAGGCAGCAGUAGGGAAUCGUCCGCAAUGGGCGAAAGCCUGACGGAGCAACGCCGCGUGAGUGAUGAAGGUCGUCGGAUCGUAAAACUCUGUUAUGAGGGAAGAACAAAUGGGUAAGUAACUAUGCACGUCUUGACGGUACCUAAUCAGAAAGCCACGGAUAACUACGUG